Molecule: ribosomal RNA, 382 nt
Filed under: Stenus comma
Lineage: Eukaryota; Metazoa; Arthropoda; Insecta; Coleoptera; Staphylinidae
Description: partial 16S ribosomal RNA
Source: RNAcentral
UGCCCAAUGAUUUAUUUAAUGGCUGCAGUAUUAUGACUGUACAAAGGUAGCAUAAUCAUUAGUUUUUUUAUUGAAAGCUGGAAUGAAUGAAUCUACGAAAAAUUAACUGUCUCUAUUUAAAAUAUAAAAUUUUAUAUUUAAGUAAAAAAGCUUAAAUUUAAUUAAAAGACGAGAAGACCCUAUAGAGUUUUAUAUUUUAAAAAUAAAAAUUAUUUUAAAAAUAUUUUAUUGGGGUGAUAGAAAAAAAUACUUAACUUUUUUUAUAUUUAAACAAUAAUAUUUGAACAAUUGAUCCAUUUUAUUGAUUAUAAGAUUAAAUUACCUUAGGGAUAACAGCGUAAUAUUUUUUUAAAGUUCAUAUUAAAAAAAAUGAUUGCGACCU